RNAcentral lists this ribosomal RNA (292 nucleotides) under uncultured bacterium. RNAcentral describes it as "partial 16S ribosomal RNA". It matches the Rfam family "Bacterial small subunit ribosomal RNA", at positions 505 to 796 of the family's 1533-position model. The record is from RNAcentral.
GUGUCAGCAGCCGCGGUAAUACGUAGGCAGCGAGCGUUGUUCGGAGUUACUGGGCGUAAAGGGUGUGUAGGCGGUCGUUUAAGUUUGGUGUGAAAUCUCCCGGCUCAACUGGGAGGGUGCGCCGAAUACUGAGCGGCUAGAGUGCGGGAGAGGAGAGUGGAAUUCCUGGUGUAGCGGUGAAAUGCGUAGAUAUCAGGAGGAACACCGGCGGUGUAGACGGCUCUCUGGACCGUAACUGACGCUGAGACACGAAAGCGUGGGUAGCAAACAGGAUUAGAAACCCGCGUAGUCC